This 79-nucleotide transfer RNA is filed under the name Blumeria graminis f. sp. tritici. It matches the Rfam family "tRNA". From Rfam's summary of the family: Transfer RNA (tRNA) molecules are approximately 80 nucleotides in length. RNAcentral also lists the same sequence under 1 other name. The record is from Rfam by way of RNAcentral. Lineage: Eukaryota; Fungi; Ascomycota; Leotiomycetes; Helotiales; Erysiphaceae.
GCCCGUUUGGCUUAGGGGUACAGCGUCUCACUCGUAGUAGAUCAUGAGAAGAUCCGCGGUUCGAUUCCGCGAAUGGGCA